Molecule: non-coding RNA, 112 nt
Filed under: Streptomyces afghaniensis
Lineage: Bacteria; Bacillati; Actinomycetota; Actinomycetes; Kitasatosporales; Streptomycetaceae
Also listed under: 1 other name
Description: c-di-AMP sequence
Rfam family: c-di-AMP riboswitch aptamer (ydaO/yuaA leader)
About the family: This family represents a conserved RNA structure found upstream of the ydaO and yuaA genes in Bacillus subtilis and related genes in other bacteria. The ydaO/yuaA element is thought to act as a genetic "off" switch for the ydaO and yuaA genes in its native state.
Source: RNAcentral
GCAGCGGAACGGCUCGGGGUGAAGCCGCGUACGGCACACAGCGCCGUAGGCGGCCGGGCACCUCCCGGCCCGAACCCGACAGCUCACCUCGCAGGCGCCGGAGAGGAACAUC